This 412-nucleotide ribosomal RNA is filed under the name uncultured bacterium. RNAcentral describes it as "bacterial SSU rRNA". It matches the Rfam family "Bacterial small subunit ribosomal RNA", at positions 29 to 423 of the family's 1533-position model. The record is from RNAcentral.
AAUCAACGCUGGCGGCGUGCCUAACACAUGCAAGUCGAACGCGAAAGCCCCGCAAGGGGUCGAGUAGAGUGGCAAACGGGUAGAGUAACACGUGGGUGACCUGCCUUCGAGUGGGGGAGUAACGUCCCGAAAGGGACGCUAAUACCGCAUCAUAUGCUGCCUUUGUAAGAGGUGGACAUCAAAGCUGGGGAGUCGCAAGACCUAGCGCUUGAAGAGGGGCCCGCGCCUGAUUAGCUAGUUGGUGGGGUAAUGCUCACCAAGGCUACGAUCAGUAUCCGGCCUGAGGAGGGCGGACGGACACACUGGGACUGAGACACGGCCCAGACUCCUACGGGAGGCAGCAGUGGGGAAUUGUUCGCAAUGGGCGCAAGCCUGACGACGCAACGCCGCGUGGAGGAUGAAGACCUUCGGU